Molecule: ribosomal RNA, 464 nt
Filed under: Vreelandella stevensii
Lineage: Bacteria; Pseudomonadati; Pseudomonadota; Gammaproteobacteria; Oceanospirillales; Halomonadaceae
Description: partial 16S ribosomal RNA
Rfam family: Bacterial small subunit ribosomal RNA
Source: RNAcentral
CCUACGGGUGGCAGCAGUGGGGAAUAUUGGACAAUGGGCGAAAGCCUGAUCCAGCCAUGCCGCGUGUGUGAAGAAGGCCUUCGGGUUGUAAAGCACUUUCAGUGGGGAAGAAAGCCUUGGGGCUAAUACCCUCGAGGAAGGACAUCACCCACAGAAGAAGCACCGGCUAACUCCGUGCCAGCAGCCGCGGUAAUACGGAGGGUGCGAGCGUUAAUCGGAAUUACUGGGCGUAAAGCGCGCGUAGGCGGUCUGAUAAGCCGGUUGUGAAAGCCCCGGGCUCAACCUGGGAACGGCAUCCGGAACUGUCAGGCUAGAGUGCAGGAGAGGAAGGUAGAAUUCCCGGUGUAGCGGUGAAAUGCGUAGAGAUCGGGAGGAAUACCAGUGGCGAAGGCGGUCUUCUGGACUGACACUGACGCUGAGGUGCGAAAGCGUGGGUAGCAAACAGGAUUAGAUACCCAGUAGUC